UGGAAUUUCAGUAAUGGUCUCUCAGUUUCUUAGCCAUGUGACCUCAGGGAGCUCGUUGAGGCUGUUUCCUCGUCUGCGAAAUAAGGUACUACAAUCGGCUUUACGGCGUCACGCAGCAAGAGCAGAGGUAACAUUUAGGGCCGUCAUUAACGCUAUGGCAGGAGCGCGGAUGAUUCCAGCCCAGGGCCCGGCAGAGAGGGCGCUCUGUAGCACAGUGAGGUCUGAGAGUCCGCGUCUUGGCAUCUAAUUGAAUGUCUACUACGAUGUGGGUGGGUUCCAGCUCUCUCAGAAGCAGAUCCUGAGAGAAGGACUGAAGUGCAAGCAGCUAUGUGGGAGGUGAUCCCAGGAAACGCCUGUAGGGGAGAGGAAAAUGGAGCCGCCCAAGUCCCUGCAGGGACUUCACUGAGAAAUAAAUGACUGAGGCUUCCGCUGUGGACAACCGGGCUCAAGCCUGUUGGGACCUUCACGUCGACUGCUUGGCUGUGAUGUUUGGAGCUGGCACAGUCAUCUUGUCUCCUUGAAGCAUAACAUCAUCAACAUGCUGAGGAUGGAAGAGCAGAGAGCUGAAAGGAGCCGGGGCCCUGGUGAGCAUGUUUAAUUAGCAGAUCCCAACGGCAGAACCUAAGACACCAGAGGAAAAGUUCUCCCUCUUCUACAGUUCCUUGCUGCCCAAGCCAUCUUAUUUAAUAGGCAUACAAAGAAUCAGAAAUAAGAAUACCAUAAGACAUCUCAACAGCAAUAUGGAAAGUUAGAAUAUAGCAAAAUAUAUCUUCAAAGCUCAAAAAGACUACCAAUCACCAGUUGUGGUUUGUGAUUUGGACAGAUGAGGGUUUGGAUUCCAGACAUCCCAUCUUUGAGAAUGAACACACCACUAAUCUUAGGCAAGCUACUCAACCUUGUUCUCCACUGUGGACAAUCAAGUGAUAUAACCCAACUCACAGGAUUGUUUGGGUCAUUAAGUGAAAUAAAGUGUGUCAACUCCCCAUUAGUAUCUGGGACAUGGUAAUUGAUUAAUGUAUAGAGAUAGGUUUAGUGUUAUCAAGAUUUA
RNAcentral lists this long non-coding RNA (1048 nucleotides) under Homo sapiens (human). RNAcentral describes it as "HSALNT0353676". The record is from RNAcentral. Lineage: Eukaryota; Metazoa; Chordata; Mammalia; Primates; Hominidae.